GACAGAGGGGGCAAGCGUUGCUCGGAAUCACUGGGCGUAAAGGGUGCGUAGGCGGUGCGGAAAGUUGGGUGUGAAAGCCCUCGGCUCAACCGAGGAAUUGCGCCCAAAACUGCCGCACUAGAGGAAGACAGAGGUACGCGGAACUUAGGGUGGAGCGGUGAAAUGCGUUGAUAUCCUAAGGAACACCGGUGGCGAAAGCGGCGUACUGGGUCUUAUCUGACGCUGAGGCACGAAAGCUAGGGGAGCGAACGGG
This 253-nucleotide ribosomal RNA is filed under the name uncultured bacterium. RNAcentral's name for it is "partial 16S ribosomal RNA". It matches the Rfam family "Bacterial small subunit ribosomal RNA", at positions 524 to 776 of the family's 1533-position model. The record is from RNAcentral.